AUAAUCCAUUAAGGAUUUUAGUAUUCAGUAAUGAUAGGAAAAACAAUGUAAUACUCGUACUGCUGACUUGUUUUAUUUUAUUAUCGAUUGUUUUUCACACUUCUAUCGACCGAUAAGAACAAGAAGAAAGAAGAUAAAAUGUUUUAACACAUUGGACAUUUAUUUCUUACGUAAAAACUCACCUGGACACGUGCUUCCGACAAACUGAUCCUCAGCGCGACCUCCUCCCUAAGGAAAACAUCGGGAUAAUGCGUCUUUUGAAAAAGUGCUUCGAGUUCUUGCAACUGUUGCGGACUAAACGUGGUGCGAUUUCUUCUUUGUCGUCUUCGACCAAACAUGUAUUCAGUGAGCAAAUCACCCGGCAGGGGUGAUAAAUAUGGUCCAGCCAUUUUAUCUCAAUUUUGAUUAUUUUAUGAGUUUACUUUAACGCUGUUAAGUUCAUACUGUGAAUCUGAAUUGCAUGUUGUUAUAGAAAUUAAA
Molecule: long non-coding RNA, 480 nt
Organism: Tribolium castaneum (red flour beetle)
Lineage: Eukaryota; Metazoa; Arthropoda; Insecta; Coleoptera; Tenebrionidae
Exons: 2
Source: RefSeq, a predicted model, not a curated record